RNAcentral lists this transfer RNA (73 nucleotides) under Desulfitobacterium dichloroeliminans LMG P-21439. It matches the Rfam family "tRNA". Rfam says of the family: Transfer RNA (tRNA) molecules are approximately 80 nucleotides in length. Their secondary structure includes four short double-helical elements and three loops (D, anti-codon, and T loops). Lineage: Bacteria; Bacillati; Bacillota; Clostridia; Eubacteriales; Desulfitobacteriaceae. The record is from Rfam by way of RNAcentral.
GGUCGUAUAGCUCAGCUGGGAGAGCGCUUGAAUGGCAUUCAAGCGGUCAGCGGUUCGAUCCCGCUUAUCUCCA